Non-coding RNA from Sus scrofa (pig), 402 nucleotides. The record is from RefSeq and is a predicted model, not a curated record. Lineage: Eukaryota; Metazoa; Chordata; Mammalia; Artiodactyla; Suidae.
CAGGGGAGAAGGUGAGACCUGGCUGUAGGAGCUGAGAGAACAGGCCUGGUGGCUUUUCAGGGUGGUGGCUCUGCACUUCCCCAUCAGAGUCACCUGGAGGACGUGUUGCAGCAGAGCUGGGCCUUUCCCCUGGAGUUCCUGAUUCACUUGUUCUGAGAACCAGGAAUCUGCAUUUCUAACUUCCUGGGUGAUACCAAUAACUGCUGGACAGGACAACACCGAACUGCUGAUGGAGAGGUGGCAGUGGGUCGCAGCACACCUCAAUUUGGAUAAACUACAUCUCAAGUUCUCUGUAGCCUCCACGACCCUGUUCUACCUGCUGCCUUCCAGGAUGAGAACAUCCAGGAGUUCCUGUUGUGGCGCAAUGGUUAACGAAUCCGACUAGGAACCAUGAGGUUGCGG